RNAcentral lists this ribosomal RNA (629 nucleotides) under uncultured Eubacteriales bacterium. RNAcentral's name for it is "bacterial SSU rRNA". It matches the Rfam family "Bacterial small subunit ribosomal RNA", at positions 9 to 654 of the family's 1533-position model. The record is from RNAcentral. Lineage: Bacteria; Bacillati; Bacillota; Clostridia; Eubacteriales.
GAGUUUGAUCAUGGUUCAGGACGAACGCUGGCGGCGUGCUUAACACAUGCAAGUCGAACGGUACCAAUUUGGUAGUGAUAUCGAAUUGGUAUAGUGGCGGACGGGUGAGUAACGCGUGAGCAAUCUACCUUAGAGUGGGGGACAACAUUCGGAAACGGAUGCUAAUACCGCAUAAGACCACACUGUCUCAUGGCAGAGGGGUCAAAGGAGUAAUCCGCUUUAAGAUGAGCUCGCGUCACAUUAGCUAGUUGGUGAGGUAACGGCCCACCAAGGCGACGAUGGGUAGCCGACCUGAGAGGGUGAUCGGCCACACUGGAACUGAGACACGGUCCGGACUCCUACGGGAGGCAGCAGUGGGGAAUAUUGGGCAAUGGGCGAAAGCCGACCCAGCAACGCCGCGUGAUUGAAGAAGGUCUUCGGAUUGUAAAGAUCUGUCCUAUGGGAAGAAAAAAAUGACGGUACCAUAGGAGGAAGCCCCGGCUAACUACGCGCCAGCAGCCGCGGUGAUACGUAGGGGGCAAGCGUUGUCCGGAUUACUGGGCGUAAGGGUGCGUAGGCGGUAUCUAAGUCAGAUGUGAAUAUCCGAGCUAACUCGGAGGUGCAUUGAACUGGAUACUUGAUGCAGAAGA